UACGUAGGGGGCAAGCGUUGUCCGGAUUUAUUGGGCGUAAAGAGCGUGUAGGCGGCCAGGUAGGUCUGCUGUGAAAACUCGAGGCUCAACCUCGAGAUGUCGGCGGAAACCAUCUGGCUAGAGUCCGGAAGAGGAGAAUGGAAUUCCCGGUGUAGCGGUGAAAUGCGCAGAUAUCGGGAGGAACACCUAUGGCGAAGGCAGCUCGCUGGGACGUUACUGACGCUGAGACGCGAAAGCGUGGGGAGCAAACAGG
RNAcentral lists this ribosomal RNA (253 nucleotides) under uncultured bacterium. RNAcentral describes it as "partial 16S ribosomal RNA". It matches the Rfam family "Bacterial small subunit ribosomal RNA", at positions 524 to 776 of the family's 1533-position model. The record is from RNAcentral.